AGGGAGUGCCCACUUAGAACCCUCUCUCACCGAGGAAUCAAUGAGGGCAGUCCAGUGCGCAUGCCUCGGUCAUUCGAGCUCCGAUAGCUUAUCUGAAGUAGUGCCAGUAAACAGCUGUAAGCUGAAACUUGGGCUAGCCUGCGUGAUCUCUCACGUGUGGCACUUGUCACGCCUGAGUCCUCCAUGAUGACAGAACAUCAUGCCUUCUAGUGAGGCGUGCUGAGGGAGUCAGAACAUAUUACUAUCGACACAAAUCACGAGGUUGCAAUGCAUGUCCUUUGCUGGAAUACGACUAGCAUGGGAUAAUAUAAUAUGGGCGUGCGUUUCUAUCUUGGUUGUUUUGAAGAGACCCUGCAAUGAUCACAGGAACAGUCGGGGGUAUCAGUAUCAGUGGUCAGAGGUAAAUUAUUGGAUUUACUGAAGACUAAAUAGUGCGAAAGCAUCUGCCAGGGAUGUUUUCAUUCAUCAGUGAACGAAGUCAGGGGAUCGAAGACGAUCAGAUACCGUCGUAGUCUUAACCGUAAACUAUGCCGACUAGGGAUCGGGCGAUGUUUUAAUUUCGACUCGCUCGGCACCUUCCGAGAAAUCAAAGUUUUUUGGUUCUGGGGGGAUUAUGGUCCGCAAGGCUGAAACUUAAAGAAAUUGACGGAAGGUCCCCACCCGGCGUGGAGCUUGCGGCUUAAUUUGACUCAACACGGGGAAACUCACCAGGUCCAGAUGAAAUAAGGAUUGACAGAUUGAGAGCUCUUUCCUGCUUUUUCAGGUGGUGGUGCAUGGCCGUUCUUACUUCGUGGGGUGACUAGUCCCAUUAAAUCCGAUAACGAGCGAGACCUUACUCUGCUAAAUAGCCAGGCUAACUUUGGUUGGUCGCCCGCUUCUCAGACAGACUAUCAACUCAAGUUGAUGGAAGUUCGAGGCAAUAACAGGUCCCUGAUGCCCUUAGAUGUUCUGGGCCGCCCGCGCGCUACACUGACAGAGCCAACGAGUUCUUUUCCUUGUUAGAAAGAAUUGGGUAAUCUUGUUAAACUCUGUCGUGCUGGGGAUAAAGCAUUGCAAUUAUUGCUUUUCACCGAGGAAUCCCUAGUAAGCGCGUGUCAUCAGCCUGCCUUGAUUACGUCCCUGACCUUUGUACACACCGCCCGUCGAUACUACCGAUUGAAUGGCUCAGUGAGGCCUUCGGACUGGCUAGAGGAGGUUGGCAACGACCACCUCAAGCCGGAAAGUUCGUCAAACUCGGUCAUUUAGAUGAAGUAAAUUGUCUUAAACCAUU
RNAcentral lists this ribosomal RNA (1270 nucleotides) under Alternaria sp. 8 SD-2012. RNAcentral describes it as "SSU rRNA". It matches the Rfam family "Eukaryotic small subunit ribosomal RNA", at positions 462 to 1798 of the family's 1831-position model. The record is from RNAcentral. Lineage: Eukaryota; Fungi; Ascomycota; Dothideomycetes; Pleosporales; Pleosporaceae.